Molecule: long non-coding RNA, 1260 nt
Filed under: Setaria viridis
Lineage: Eukaryota; Viridiplantae; Streptophyta; Magnoliopsida; Poales; Poaceae
Description: long non-coding RNA (SVIR_LNC006025)
Source: RNAcentral
UUCAAGAGGGUGGUGAAGGCCAAGUCGACGGAGCGGUUCGAUGGGCUCCCCUACCUGCUCUCCCUGCUCAACUGCUGCAUCUGCCUCUGGUACGGCCUCCCCUGGGUCUCCGACGGCGGCAGGACCCUCGUGGCCACCGUCAACGGCACCGGCGCGCUGUUCCAGCUCGCGUACAUUUCGCUCUUCAUCUUCUACGCCGACAGCAGGAGCACACGGGUAAUUCUUUCCUUGCCGACUUGCCGUCCUCAACUACACCAGCUUCAGUUCGGAAAAGAGACCCGAAGAAUUGUGCUGGUUCUUUGCCGUGUCUGACUGACCGACACGAGUAAGAUGGACCGCACAAUUUUGUCUGUGGAAGCUGUUUUCUUUCUUCCAUUUCUGCAAUAGACGAUGUUUGCGUGGAUAAUGAGACCUGUUCUUCGUCCUCUCCACAGUUAAAGAUCACGGGGAUCCUGCUGCUCGAAGUCUUCGUGUUCGCGUUCGUUGCGCAUGCGAGCAUCGCCUUCUUGGACCAGCCGGCCCGGCAGCUGUUCAUCGGCGGCGUGAGCAUGGCGUCUCUGAUCUCCAUGUUUGCCUCCCCACUGGCCGUCAUGGUACGCUUUCCUAAGCUGAGCGCUCGAUUGAUUUCUUCCUCGUCUAACUUUGCCGCCGGACGAAAUGACCACCUCUCACGGCUUUUGCGUGUUUCGUCCUGGUUCUUCAGGGUUUGGUGAUCCGGACCGAGUGCGUGGAGUUCAUGCCCUUCUACUUGUCCCUCUCCACCUUCCUCAUGAGCGCCUCCUUCACAAUGUACGGGCUUCUGCUGCGUGAUUUCUUCAUAUACGUGAGCACCCGAUUCGUUCUCAUUUCAGCUUACGCUUUCAUGAACUGAUUGUCGAACUUAUUUGGUAGAUGCGUUCACCGAGAGUUCGGUUAACCAACUUUUGAGUUUUGAUGUUGAUUUUUCAGGUCCCCAAUGGGAUUGGAGUCAUCCUGGGAGCAAUGCAGCUGGUGCUGUACGCUUACUACAGCAGGAAAUGGAAGAGCAGUGAACCUUCUGCACCGUUGCUCGCCUGAGCAAAACCGACUUGAUCAGUCAGCUGGUUGCUCUCCGUUGCUGGGAUUCAGAAAAGAGGGGGGUGACGGUUUCUUGAAGGAGAGUCUAAGAGGGAGAUGUUACUACUUGCUAGUGGCAGUCUAUACGUUGUUUUGUCCUGGUCACUGUGCUGUACAUUGUUGGCUUUGUGCCCCGUCAUUUCUCUUCACGUAUUUGUAGUGAAA